This 3130-nucleotide long non-coding RNA is filed under the name Homo sapiens (human). RNAcentral's name for it is "PREDICTED lncRNA (TCONS_00138242)". The record is from RNAcentral. Lineage: Eukaryota; Metazoa; Chordata; Mammalia; Primates; Hominidae.
CUGGAGUUAGAUACUGCAUUCCCUGUACAUCAUCUCCAUGAACUUCCAUGGCCACCCUCCGAGAUGGGGAUCUACUUUCCAGGUUUAAAAUCUCCGAGCCUCAGACAGUUGAAAUCACAGCUGGUCACAAUUUGAACCCAGAACUGAUUUCAGAGUCCAAGCCCUCCCCAUCACACUAAAUAAAGGACAAAGUAUUUCUAUCAAGCCAAAAAUCAAGACAUGGGACCCUGAAGUGCUUUAUUAUCAGGACUUAUUGGAAGGGUUUCCCAGUUGCUUCCAGGCAGCACAUCUUGGUUUGGACAGACCACAUAGUGGCCAGUGGCUGCCAUAUUGGACAGCACUGGUGUAAGAGGGUCCAUCUCUCACUCCCACAUCAAUGUCCAAUGGUUUCUCAUUCAACUGGAAAGUGAAAUUGGAAAUCUUGUGAAAGAUGAAGAAUUAUGAAUGUGGUACGUUGAACUGCUGGGCCCACCCACAAGACAUCAACAAAUGAAGGUGUGGAAGGGUUAAACCAGUUAACGUUGAACAAAGGACAAUGGAUAUGAUGAGUUACAAGCUGAGUUGUAUCCCUCCACAAUUCACAUGUUGAAGUCCUAACCUUUAGUACUUCAGGGUGUAACUUAUUUGGAAACUAGAUCAUUAUAGAAGUUAAAACGAGGUCAUAAGGGUGGGCCCUAAUCUUACUAACCUGUCCCUAUAAAAGGGAAAUUUGAACACAGUGACACCCAGAGGGAAGAUGAUGUGAAGACAGAGAGAGAAGACAGCCAUCAGCAAGCCAAGGAGAGAAGUCUGGAAUGGAUCCUCCCCUCACAGCCCUCAGAAGGAACCAAGCCAGCCAGCCUCUCAAUCUCACACUUUUAGCCUCCAGAUCUGUGAGACAAUAAGUUUAUGUUGUUUAAGCCCUCCAGUCUGUGGUACUUUGUAAUGUAGCCCCAGCAAACUAAAACAUGGGUUGGCUGGUGGCAUUAGAACAAGUUGCCCAUGAAAAGGUUACAGGCAGCCUAUAGGACAAUUGAAGAUGCAUUCUACUUUCUGCCUGCACUGUGCAUCUAGUGAAGAAAAAAAAAAAAAACACCUCAAUAACUAUCAGUGAUUCAUGGUGUCAUGGAGGCUCCCUCUGCACAUGUCUUGGGGAAAAGAGAGGAUAAACGGUGGAUAGUGGAAGUUCAAGCCUCCAUCCCUUAUUAUCUGUGUAAUGGGCCAACACACCUCAUUCCUUGAGUUCCUGGCAAGUAGAACUUUCUCCACUAAAGUUUCUGACAAAGGCCUUCUCCAAAUAAGACCCAAUGAGACAUUUGGGAUUCAUUGCCUCCUACUUUCUAGAAACAAAUAGAAAAGGCAGGAAGCACAGCUAACAACAUUGGUGGCCAGCUGAAGGAGUUUACACACCCUACCAUGACCCUGGUAGAGUAGAGACAGCAUGAGUUGAAGCCUGCUACUCAGAAUCCACUGCAACUAAGAGUGUGUGUGUGUGUGUGUGUGUGUGUGUGUGUGUGUGUGUAUGUAUGUGUGUAUGUGUGUGUUUUCUGCAGUUCCAGUCACAGAUCUGCCUGCCACACAGUGGAGCCCUCUCUUGGACUCUGAAUGCAUAGCCCAGCAAAGCCAAGCAACUGAAUCUCACCAUCAGAACAGCUGAGAGCAGCUCCAUCAAAGCAGUCAGUGGUACAUGUGAUCAAUUUGUUUUUUGUAUUUCUGGGCUACAAAAUGUCUCUUAAGUUUCAUCAUUGGACCUAUCGAGAAAGGAGAAAUCAAUUGAGUUGUGGAGAUAAAAGAAAAUUACACACACCCAUGCAUGACCAGGCAACAGAGUCCCAUGCCUGGGGCUAGGCUGGGUGGCUGGCUGUGCCAUUGACUUUCAGGGUGUGUAACUUUUGCCAUCUGUAUGGGGAUGAUAAAACUUCCAUGUGAUCCUUCAGCUGUGGUGAGGAUUCUGUGAGCUGGAAGGUGAAGAGCAUGGUGCAUUCUGUGCCUGAUGUGGACUGUGCACCCAAUGGAGGAGGGAUAUCAUCAUCUCAAACCAUACCCCUAUCCCCAUUUUACAGGUGAGGAAACUGGGGCAUAGAGAGGACCAGUUCCUCUGAGGUCAGCCAGCAAGUGCACGGCAGAAUCAAGUCUCAAACUGGGAGUUGUCUGCUCCCUGAGCCCAGGACUUUCAUUGAAAGCCUCUGAGUCACCAGGGGCAUUGAAGCCCCUCUGGGUGUCUCAAGCAACCCCACAAGGACUGUGUUUUCAACUUAUAGAUGAGAAGACCACCAGCCUGGACAACAUGGCAAAACACCAUCUCUACAAAACAAAAAGAGGAUAGCGGCCAGGCACGGUGGCUCACGCCUGUAAUCCCAGCACUUUGGGAGGCCAAGGCGGGUUGAUCACGAGGUCAAGAGAUCAAGACCAUCCUGGCCAAAAUGGUGAAACCCUGUCUCUACUAAAAAUACAAAAAAUUAGCUGGACGUGGUGGCACGCACCUGUAGUCCCAGCUACUCGGGAGGCUGAGGCAGGAAAAUCGCUUGAACCUGGGAAGUGGAGGUUGCAGUGAGCCGAGAUUGCGCCACUGCACUCCAGCCUGGCGACAGAGUAAAACUCCGUCUCAAAAAAAAAAAAGAAAGAAAGAAAGAAAGAAAAUAGCCACGCAUGGUGGCGCGCACUCAUCCCAGCUACUCAGGAGGCUGAGGUGGGAGGAUCGCUUGAGCCUGGGAGUUCAAGGCUGCAGCAGCAAGCUGUGAUUGUGCCAUCGUACUCCAACCUGGGUAACAGAGCAAGACUCUGUCUCAAAACAAACAAAAAAAAAACAAGACUCAGUGGGACAAGUCACUUCCCUGUGUAGAGGGGACAGGAUUUGAACCCAGGUUGUUCAUUGCCACAUACUUGCUCUGAUUCUUCCAUCCACACCGUCAGAUUACAGCCGAGCGCUGACAGCAAACUCGCAAAUGAAAGUACAUUAGUAGAAUCCAGUAUCCCCACUCUGGAGUGAGCCCUUCCCUCAUGGGGGAAGAGAGGCAAAAAUAAAACAUACAGAGACUAAUUUCAUGUUCUGAUGCUUUAAAGAAGACAGGGUGGUAUAAUGGGGGUGGCAGCAAGCUACUGGGUGAAAUAUUAAGGACGAUGGCAAGCCACUUUAGCCAGCAUGGUCAGG